UACGUAGGUGGCAAGCGUUGUCCGGAAUUAUUGGGCGUAAAGCGCGCGCAGGCGGUCUCUUAAGUCUGAUGUGAAAGCCCCCGGCUCAACCGGGGAGGGUCAUUGGAAACUGGGAGGCUUGAGUGCAGAAGAGAAGAGUGGAAUUCCACGUGUAGCGGUGAAAUGCGUAGAGAUGUGGAGGAACACCAGUGGCGAAGGCGACUCUUUGGUCUGUAACUGACGCUGAGGCGCGAAAGCGUGGGGAGCAAACAGG
RNAcentral lists this ribosomal RNA (253 nucleotides) under uncultured bacterium. RNAcentral's name for it is "partial 16S ribosomal RNA". It matches the Rfam family "Bacterial small subunit ribosomal RNA", at positions 524 to 776 of the family's 1533-position model. The record is from RNAcentral.